AACGAACGCUGGCGGCAUGCCUAACACAUGCAAGUCGAACGGACCCUUCGGGUCUAGUGCCGCACGGUUGGGUACCGCGUGGGAACCUGCCCUUGGGUUCGGAAUAACUCCCCGAAGGGGAUGCUAAUACCGGAUAAUGUCUUCGGACCAAAGGUUUUUGGCCUUUGGAUGGGCCCGCGUUGGAUUAGCUAGUUGGUAGGGUAAAAGCCUACCAAGGCGACGAUCCAUAGCUGGUCUGAGAGGAUGACCAGCAACACUGGGACUGAGACACGGCCCAGACUCCUACGGGAGGCAGAAGUGGGGAAUAUUGGACGAUGGGCGAAAGCCUGAGCCAGCAAGGCCGCGUGAGUGAUGAAGGCCUUAGGGUUGUAAAGCUCUUUUACCCGGGAUGAUAAUGACAGUACCGGGAGAAUAAGCACCGGCUAACUCCGU
Molecule: ribosomal RNA, 432 nt
Filed under: uncultured bacterium
Lineage: Bacteria
Description: partial 16S ribosomal RNA
Rfam family: Bacterial small subunit ribosomal RNA
Source: RNAcentral